This 253-nucleotide ribosomal RNA is filed under the name uncultured bacterium. Its description in RNAcentral is "partial 16S ribosomal RNA". It matches the Rfam family "Bacterial small subunit ribosomal RNA", at positions 524 to 776 of the family's 1533-position model. The record is from RNAcentral.
UACAGAGGUCCCAAGCGUUGUCCGGAAUCAUUGGGCGUAAAGCGCGCGUAGGCGGCCCUGUAAGUCCGUUGUGAAAGUCAAAGGCUCAACCUUUGAAAGCCGAUGGAUACUGCAGGGCUAGAGUCCGGAAGAGGCGAGUGGAAUUCCUGGUGUAGCGGUGGAAUGCGCAGAUAUCAGGAGGAACACCAAUAGUGAAGGCAGCUCGCUGGGACGGUACUGACGCUAAGGCGCGAAAGCGUGGGGAGCGAACAGG